This is a long non-coding RNA of Neodiprion virginianus, 344 nucleotides long. RefSeq lists it as uncharacterized. The transcript is spliced from 3 exons. Lineage: Eukaryota; Metazoa; Arthropoda; Insecta; Hymenoptera; Diprionidae. The record is from RefSeq and is a predicted model, not a curated record.
GGAGGAGGACGAGGAAGACUAGGAGAACAAGGUGGACAAGGAAGACAAGGAUUUGUGCUCGGAAAGUCCGUCAAUGGAACGGUCUGCUGACUCCGAAGGAUCUCUACUGGAUGUGGAUGAAACUUUGGAAAGAAGUAAGGAGGUUCUAGGAUCACCAUUCUACGAAGAAAAACUGCGUCAGCUGUCAACUGGCCAACUAACAGAGCUUCUCGGUGAAAUGGAAUCCUUGGUCGGAGCGCUCAGCGAAACUUUAAUAGCUGAGUAUUAUUAUUAUUAAUAUUAGCUUACUUUUGUAAGUAUUUAUGAAUAUAGCCUCCAUGAAUAUUCAUUGUUGGUAUGUAAGG